This 573-nucleotide ribosomal RNA is filed under the name uncultured rumen bacterium. RNAcentral's name for it is "bacterial SSU rRNA". It matches the Rfam family "Bacterial small subunit ribosomal RNA", at positions 347 to 916 of the family's 1533-position model. The record is from RNAcentral.
GGCAGCAGCUAAGAAUAUUCCGCAAUGGUCGAAAGACUGACGGAGCGACGCCGCGUGAAUGAUGAAGGCCGUGAGGUUGUAAAGUUCUUUUCUGGAGGGAGAAUAAGUGCAUCAGGGAAUGGGUGCAUGAUGACGUGAAUCCAGGAAUAAGCCCCGGCUAACUACGUGCCAGCAGCCGCGGUAACACGUAGGGGGCAAGCGUUGUUCGGAAUUAUUGGGCGUAAAGGGCGCGCAGGCGGCCUGGCAAGUCUGCUGUUAAAUGGUUGAGCUUAACUCAAUCAUGCGGUGGAAACUACAAGGCUAGAAUCAACGAGGGGAUGCCGGAAUUCCAGGUGUAGGGGUGAAAUCUGUAGAUAUCUGGAAGAACACCAAUGGCGAAGGCAGGCAUCUGGCGACUGAUUGACGCUGAGGCGCGAAGGUGCGGGGAGCAAACAGGUUUAGAUAUCCUGGUAGUCCGCACAGUAAACGAUGUGCACCAGGUGGCGGGUAGCAGUACUCGGUACCGAAGCAAACGCAUUAAGUGCACCGCCUGGGGAGUAUGCUCGCAAGGGUGAAACUCAAAGGAAUUGACGG